Molecule: ribosomal RNA, 494 nt
Filed under: uncultured bacterium
Lineage: Bacteria
Description: partial 16S ribosomal RNA
Rfam family: Bacterial small subunit ribosomal RNA
Source: RNAcentral
GACGAACGCUGGCGGCGUGCUUAACACAUGCAAGUCGAACGGUGAAGCGCCUUCCUUUUUGGUGGGUGUGGAUGAGUGGCGAACGGGUGAGUAACACGUGAGUAACCUGCCCCCUUCUUCUGGAUAACCGCAUGAAAGUGUGGCUAAUACGGGAUAUUCUGGGUCUGUCGCAUGAUGGGUCUGGGAAAGAUAUUGUUUCGGUGGGGGAUGGGCUCGCGGCCUAUCAGCUUGUUGGUGGGGUGAUGGCCUACCAAGGCGGUGACGGGUAGCCGGCCUGAGAGGGUGGACGGUCACACUGGGACUGAGACACGGCCCGGACUCCUACGGGAGGCAGCAGUGGGGAAUAUUGCACAAUGGGCGCAAGGCUGAUGCAGCGACGCCGCGUGAGGGAUGGAGGCCUUCGGGUUGUGAACCUCUUUCGCCAGUGAAGCAGGCCUGCCUCGUUUGUGGGUGGGUUGACGGUAGCUGGAGAAGAAGCGCCGGCUAACUACGUG